This 328-nucleotide long non-coding RNA is filed under the name Pan troglodytes (chimpanzee). RNAcentral's name for it is "long non-coding RNA NONPTRT012172". The record is from RNAcentral. Lineage: Eukaryota; Metazoa; Chordata; Mammalia; Primates; Hominidae.
UGUACGGUUCAACUCUAGUUGAAAAGAAAAUAAGCCUCUGAACAAAUAAGCAUUUGUUCCUCCAGGUAGCCUGUGAUGCCACUGCAGUGGUGGAUGUUCCCUGAACACGCUGUGCAUUUUCUCACCUCAGGGUCUUCAGUCAAGCUGCUGCAUCUAUGUGGAAUUCCCUGUCUGUCUCCACCAACUGCCAAAUGCUUGCUGAUCUUUCAAGAUGGAAGUGAAAGGACACUACCUCUCCUAAGCUUUCCCUAGUGCCUUCAUGUACCACCAACCCCCAAGUCAAAAUUUACCUCCACCACCUCAGCACUUUCAUAACCUCUGCCUGACC